Molecule: ribosomal RNA, 253 nt
Filed under: uncultured bacterium
Lineage: Bacteria
Description: partial 16S ribosomal RNA
Rfam family: Bacterial small subunit ribosomal RNA
Source: RNAcentral
UACAGAGGGUGCAAGCGUUAUUCGGAAUUAUUGGGCGUAAAGCGCACGCAGGCGGUUUAAUAAGUUGGAUGUGAAAUCCCCGGGCUCAACCUGGGAAUUGCAUUCAAAACUGUUAGUCUAGAGUACAGUAGAGGGGAGUGGAAUUCCCGGUGUAGCGGUGAAAUGCGUAGAUAUCGGAAGGAACAUCAGUGGCGAAGGCGGCUCCCUGGACUGAUACUGACGCUCAGGUGCGAAAGCGUGGGGAGCAAACAGG